This 100-nucleotide transfer RNA is filed under the name Saccharothrix algeriensis. RNAcentral describes it as "tRNA-Ala". Lineage: Bacteria; Bacillati; Actinomycetota; Actinomycetes; Pseudonocardiales; Pseudonocardiaceae. The record is from RNAcentral. RNAcentral also lists the same sequence under 1 other name.
GCUGUACGUGCUCAACGGCCGGCUGCGGGUGGUGCUCGGCGAGCACGACCUGGUGCUCGCGCCGGGCGAGGCGGCGGAGUUCGACACCCGGGUGCCGCAC